GACCUGCGGAGGAUCAUUAACCUUUCAAAUCAGGGUGCGGCGCGGCCCCCGAGGAGCGGAAACAAUCCUUGGGAGGUAUGCGGGGGCUUCGAGCCCCCCAUUUACGCACGCACGACUGCCAUCCUUACUUUACGAGCACCUUCUGUUCUCCCUCGGCGGGGCAACCUGCCGUUGGAACCGAAUAAACUCUUUUUGCAUCUAGCAUUACCUGUUCCGAAACAAACAAUCGUUACAACUUUCAACAAUGGAUCUCUUGGCUCUGGCAUCGAUGAAGAACGCAGCGAAAUGCGAUAAGUAGUGUGAAUUGCAGAAUUCAGUGAAUCAUCGAAUCUUUGAACGCACAUUGCGCCCCUCGGUAUUCCGUGGGGCAUGCCUGUUCGAGCGUCAUCUACACCCUCAAGCUCUGCUUGGUGUUGGGCGUCUGUCCCGCCUCCGCGCGUGGACUCGCCCCAAAUUCAUUGGCAGCGGUCCUUGCCUCCUCUCGCGCAGCACAUUGCGCUUCUCGAGGGGCUACGGCUCGCGUCCAACAAGCACAUUUACCGUCUUUGACCUCGGAUCAGGUAGGGAUACCCGCUGAACUUAAGCAUAU
This 589-nucleotide ribosomal RNA is filed under the name fungal sp. RNAcentral's name for it is "eukaryotic LSU rRNA". The stretch from base 234 to 387 matches the Rfam family "5.8S ribosomal RNA". The record is from RNAcentral. Lineage: Eukaryota; Fungi.